RNAcentral lists this ribosomal RNA (492 nucleotides) under uncultured bacterium. RNAcentral's name for it is "partial 16S ribosomal RNA". It matches the Rfam family "Bacterial small subunit ribosomal RNA", at positions 29 to 507 of the family's 1533-position model. The record is from RNAcentral.
CGUGCACGCUGGCGGUAGGCCUAACACAUGCAAGUCGAACGGCAGCACAGUAAGAGCUUGCUCUUACGGGUGGCGAGUGGCGGACGGGUGAGGAAUACAUCGGAAUCUACUUUUUCGUGGGGGAUAACGUAGGGAAACUUACGCUAAUACCGCAUACGACCUACGGGUGAAAGCAGGGGAUCUUCGGACCUUGCGCGAUUGAAUGAGCCGAUGUCGGAUUAGCUAGUUGGCGGGGUAAAGGCCCACCAAGGCGACGAUCCGUAGCUGGUCUGAGAGGAUGAUCAGCCACACUGGAACGGAGACACGGUCCAGAGUCCUGCGGGAGGCAGCAGUGGGGAAUAUUGGACAAUGGGCGCAAGCCUGAUCCAGCCAUACCGCGUGGGUGAAGAAGGCCUUCGGGUUGUAAAGCCCUUAUGUUGGGAAAGAAAAGCAGCAGGUUAAUACCCCGCUGUUCUGACGGUACCCAAAGAAUAAGCACCGGCUAACUUCGUG